Molecule: ribosomal RNA, 253 nt
Filed under: uncultured bacterium
Lineage: Bacteria
Description: partial 16S ribosomal RNA
Rfam family: Bacterial small subunit ribosomal RNA
Source: RNAcentral
UACGUAGGACGCAAGCAUUAUCCGGAAUUACUGGGCGUAAAGAGCGCGCAGGCGGAUACUUAAGUCAGGUAUGAAAGCUCUGGGCUAAACUCGGAGAGGCUACAUGAUACUGGGUAUCUAGAGUGGGGAAGAGGGGCGUAGAAUUCCGCGUGUAGUGGUAAAAUGCGUAGAUAUGCGGAGGAAUACCAGUGGCGAAGGCGACGCUCUGGUCCCCAACUGACGCUGAGGCGCGAAAGCAUGGGGAGUGAACGGG